UGCAGCUGGAGACCGCAGAACUUGGUGUCUGC
Molecule: non-coding RNA, 32 nt
Filed under: Homo sapiens (human)
Lineage: Eukaryota; Metazoa; Chordata; Mammalia; Primates; Hominidae
Source: RNAcentral